This 492-nucleotide ribosomal RNA is filed under the name uncultured bacterium. RNAcentral describes it as "partial 16S ribosomal RNA". It matches the Rfam family "Bacterial small subunit ribosomal RNA", at positions 29 to 507 of the family's 1533-position model. The record is from RNAcentral.
AGUGAACGCUGGCGGUAGGCCUAACACAUGCAAGUCGAACGGCAGCACAGUAAGAGCUUGCUCCUACGGGUGGCGAGUGGCGGACGGGUGAGGAAUACAUCGGAAUCUACUUUUUCGUGGGGGAUAACGUAGGGAAACUUACGCUAAUACCGCAUACGACCUACGGGUGAAAGCAGGGGAUCUUCGGACCUUGCGCGAUUGAAUGAGCCGAUGUCGGAUUAGCUAGUUGGCGGGGUAAAGGCCCACCGAGGCGACGAUCCGUAGCUGGUCUGAGAGGAUGAUCAGCCACACUGGAACUGAGACACGAUCCAGACUCCUACGGGAGGCAGCAGUGGGGAAUAUUGGACAAUGGGCGCAAGCCUGAUCCAGCCAUACCGCGUGUGUGAAGAAGGCCUUCGGGUUGUAAAGCCCUUUUGUUGGGAAAGAAAAGCAGCAGGUUAAUACCCCGCUGUUCUGACGGUACCCAAAGAAUAAGCACCGGCUAACUUCGUG